RNAcentral lists this ribosomal RNA (274 nucleotides) under uncultured bacterium. Its description in RNAcentral is "partial 16S ribosomal RNA". It matches the Rfam family "Bacterial small subunit ribosomal RNA", at positions 523 to 796 of the family's 1533-position model. The record is from RNAcentral.
AUACGGAGGGUGCGAGCGUUGUUGGGAAUUACUGGGCGUAAAGCGCGUGCAGGUGGUUCGGAAAGUCGGGUGUGAAAUCCCCGGGCUCAACCCGGGAACUGCAUCCGAAACUUCCGAGCUAGAGUCCCGGAGAGGAAGGCAGAAUUCCCAAUGUAGGGGUGAAAUCCGUAGAUAUUGGGAGGAAUACCAGUUGCGAAGGCGGCCUUCUGGACGGUGACUGACACUCAGACGCGAAAGCGUGGGGAGCAAACAGGAUUAGAAACCCCAGUAGUCC